CUUCAUGAGCUGCAACCUCAUCACCAGUGGGCCUUUCUCCUCCUCUUCAUCAUACUCACCCUCCUCUUCAUCCUCCUCUUCAUCCUCCUCUUCAUCCUCCUCUUCAUCCUCCUCUUCAUCCUCCUCUUCAUCCUCCUCCUCCUUCUCCUCACCCUUCUCCUUCUCUUCCCCUUCCUUCAUGAGCUGCAACCUCAUCACUGGUGGGCCUUCAUCCCCUCUUCAUCAUCCUCAUCCUCUUCCUCACCCUCCUCUUCAUCCUCAUCCUCCUUCUCUUCAUCAUCCUCCUCCUUCUCCUCCUCCUUCUCCUCACUCUCCUCGCUCUCCUCUUCCCCUUCCUUCAUGAGCUGCAACCUCAUCACUGGUGCACCUUCCUCCUCCUCAUCCUCCUCUUCAUCCUCCUCUUCGUCCUCCUCUUCGUCCUCCUCUUCGUCCUCCUCUUCGUCCUCCUCUUCGUCCUCCUCUUCGUCCCCCUCAUCCUUCUCCUCCUCCUUCUCACCCUCCUUCUUCUUCCCCUUCCUUCAUGAGCUGCAACCUCAUCACUGGUGGGCCUUCCUCAUCAUCAUCCUCCUCAUCCUCUUCAUCCUCCUCUUCAUCCUCCCCUUCAUCCUCCUCCUCCUCCUCCUCCUUCUCCUCACCUUUCUCCUCCUCCUCUUCCCCUUCCUUCAUGAGCUGCAACCUCAUCACUGGUGGGCCUUCCUCAUCAUCAUCCUCCUCAUCCUCUUCAUCCUCCUCUUCAUCCUCCCCUUCAUCCUCCUCCUCCUCCUCCUCCUUCUCCUCACCUUUCUCCUCCUCCUCUUCCCCUUCCUUCAUGAGCUGCAACCUCAUCACUGGUGGGCCUUCAUCCCCUCUUCAUCAUCAUCUUCAUCCUCCUCAUCCUCCUCCUCCUCCUCCUCCUCCUCUUCCUUUCUUCUUUCCCUUCCCCUUCCUCUUUCUCUUCUGCUUCCCCUUCCUCAUCCCUUUUCCCUUCCCCUUCAUCUUCUUCUUCCCCUUCCUCCUUCUCUUUCUCCUCCUCCUUCUCUUCCUCAUCCUCCUCCUCUUCCUCU
RNAcentral lists this long non-coding RNA (1043 nucleotides) under Calidris pugnax (ruff). RNAcentral describes it as "lncRNA (ENSCPUG00000001119.1)". The record is from RNAcentral. Lineage: Eukaryota; Metazoa; Chordata; Aves; Charadriiformes; Scolopacidae.